CGGUCCAGACUCCUACGGGAGGCAGCAGUGGGGAAUAUUGCACAAUGGGCGCAAGCCUGAUGCAGCCAUGCCGCGUGUGUGAAGAAGGCCUUCGGGUUGUAAAGCACUUUCAGCGGGGAGGAAGGCGAUAAGGUUAAUAACCUUGGCGAUUGACGUUACCCGCAGAAGAAGCACCGGCUAACUCCGUGCCAGCAGCCGCGGUAAUACGGAGGGUGCAAGCGUUAAUCGGAAUUACUGGGCGUAAAGCGCACGCAG
RNAcentral lists this ribosomal RNA (255 nucleotides) under Klebsiella pneumoniae. RNAcentral describes it as "partial 16S ribosomal RNA". It matches the Rfam family "Bacterial small subunit ribosomal RNA", at positions 327 to 574 of the family's 1533-position model. Lineage: Bacteria; Pseudomonadati; Pseudomonadota; Gammaproteobacteria; Enterobacterales; Enterobacteriaceae. The record is from RNAcentral.